This is a long non-coding RNA of Bombyx mori (domestic silkworm), 3422 nucleotides long. RefSeq lists it as uncharacterized. The transcript has 3 exons. The record is from RefSeq and is a predicted model, not a curated record. NCBI's taxonomy places the organism in Eukaryota, Metazoa, Arthropoda, Insecta, Lepidoptera, Bombycidae.
GGCGUCCAUGCGCCACUUCGAUAAAGCGGCACGACACGAGAACCCUCUCAUCGUGGCCGCCGGUAACUACAUUCCCGAUCCUGCGGACAGAAUGGAAAGCAGUCGACGUCGCCCUAAACACGUCAUCUCGGAUCCUCCUGAUCCACUAACGGUGCUUUUAGGUACUUCAAGCACCGGUCACCGUUCUCGUCGAACCCGUCGCUUGCGACGAAGGGCUCGACGAGUAAAUUAACUCUCAGACACAGCCCACUGAGUUUCUCGCCGGAUCUUCUCAGUGGGUCGCGUUUCCGAUCCGGUGGUAGAUUCUGCGAAGCACGACUCUUGCUAGGGUUCGUGUUAGCAACAUCGUCAGGUUUGAGCCCCGUGAGCUCACCUACUAAAGUUAAGGCUACGCUGAAAUAGCCGCUAGGGCUAUCAGCUUAGGUAGGAAAAAAAAAAAAAAAAAAAAGCCUUUGCCUCUUUUUAGUGCGUGGCGUUCGUGUGUGCGGUUCUUGUUGAAACAUGUUUGGUUCUUGUGUAAUUUUAACAGUUUUCGUUAAUAGUAAAUUGAAAUCAUUUUGUUAGACGUUUUGUUAAUUCAGUGAAAUAUAAUUAGGCCAGUUCUGUGUUAUUUAUUUCUUUUUGCUAACUACCUCACUUCUGGUCGAUAAUAUCAGAAGUGGGAUAAAACCACGUGCUUUUGAAAAGUGACGGGACGUCGAUGUAGAAAAUACAGGCGCGAUCAUUCUCAUCGACGCUGUCAUGCCCGCUCGAAUUCUCGAUUUAGGAGUUUGUUGCAAUUAUUAUCGUCGCGAUCGUGCUGUGUGUAGGAAGAGCAAGACACCUACGCCGCAGGAUGUCUCCUGGUAUAGUUCCGUGGAACCGUUGUUUAGAACUUAAUUAUACUCGUGAGAUCGUGAGAUUAAUUACCACUUUACCGGUACCGUCUAAUCGCAAUACGCUGUCGCACUCUUGUACCGAACGCCACGCGCACUUAUUUUUGCCUCCAGCAGCAACGGUUUCCGUCGAAGGGGGUGACGCAUGUGCACCUGAGUACCCUGGGACAGCGUCAUGCAAAUCGGCGGGUGUGUGUAGCAGUGCUGGUCAGCAGAUGGACGGCGUGACGAACAGGAUUAUUGGAGCAUUGCAGGUGCUAUCUAAACUUUGACAAUGGAGGCGCCUUCUGUUUGAUUUGUUCACAGACGCAGGGCGUUGUCGCCGACGUGUGAGGUCAGUAGCGAGUCGGCGCCGUGCUCCAGCAGGAGAGCGCAGAGCCGUGCAGACUGCACGUGUUGCUCGCGUGCCGCUACCUGCGCGCGCUCGCCUGCUUCAGACGUGCAUACUGCACGUGUUGCUCGCGUGCCGCUGCAUGCGCGCGCUCACCUACUUCUGGCGCGCAUACUGCGCGCACUGCUCGCGUGCCGCUACCUGCGCGCGCUCGCCUGCUUCAGACGUGCAUACUGCACGUGUUGCUCGCGUGCUGCUGCAUGCGCGCGCUCACCUACUUCUGACGUGCAUGCUGCACGUGUUGCUCGCAUGCCGCCGACUGCACGGUGCUGUACGACUGGCAGUGACGCAGAGGGCGAUGUCGCUUAGUCUGCGGCCUGCUGCUGCGAACUACCCAACGGAUUGUCUAUCAGGACGGUCGAGCGGGACGCCCGCCACACGUGGUGCAGCCUCGCAUCGUGGGAGCAGACUGGAGCUGGGACGGCUGCCCUGCUUCCACAUCAUCCUUACGAGUGGACCCCGGUGACAUGCAGCCUUUUCUUCGAAAUUAAUAUGUGAAGGUCGAGGUGGGCACUUCGGUGCUUUACUUCCCAUUUUUGAGGUUGAGGUGGGCACGACGGUGCUUUACUUCCCAUUUUUGAGGUUGAGGUGGGCACGACGGUGCUUUACUUCCCGUUUAUUUAUUUUUUGAGCAGUAUGGUAGAUGCGGAUUCGGCCGGAUUUUGCGUCCCUACUGUUUAGCUGUGUUGUAUCGGUAAUGUUCAGUAUCUGUAUCGGUGAAUAUUGCCGACAACAGCGCGCUACUGUUUUAGACGUUUCCUGUACGGGCUAACUCAGUAAAGGAAUCGUGCAGGUGUCUCAAAUUGCGCAGUUUGGGACAAUUGUGCGAUAUCCAUUCUUCUCACUUCAAAUGUUUAUCUUUGGCUCGUCCUCGCUGCAGAUGUAAGAGUGCACGCUUGCGUCUGUAGUAGGGAUUCUAAAUUUUAGAAAGUUUUAGAGCAUUAAGGUCUGGGUGUAAUUUUUUUUGUUGCGUUACAGAGGGUGACCUUGUUGAUGCAAGCUCUGACGUAGCUGGAAGAGAUAUGCUUCUGCUGAGAGAUGAAGCGGUCGAGGACGCCUCGCCAUCAGGAACGGCCGUGUUACCGAAUCCUGGCAACCCCCGACCGAGAGCCAGCGCUAAAACUAUAAAAACGAUCUCUCGCUGCGCCUUUGCCUCUUUUUAGUGCGUGGCGUUCGUGUGUGCGGUUCUUGUUGAAACAUGUUUGGUUCUUGUGUAAUUUUAACAGUUUUCGUUAAUAGUAAAUUGAAAUCAUUUUGUUAGACGUUUUGUUAAUUCAGUGAAAUAUAAUUAGGCCAGUUCUGUGUUAUUUAUUUCUUUUUGCUAACUACCUCACUUCUGGUCGAUAAUAAUAAAUUUUUUUUAUAUUUCAGCGAAAAUUAAGCAAUUUCAAGCAAUUAAAAAAAAAAGCUAUCUCAAUCGCUAGCCAUUUUACAGUGUGGGUUUUGUGUUUUGACAUUGCGUGACCGAAAGAAGCUGGUUCGCGGACCCUUCGAAUACAUAUAUAGGUUGGUGGCAUUUACGUCGUUGACGUCUAUGGACUCCGGAAACCACUUAACAUCAGAUGAGCCGUGAUAUCGUUCACUCGUCUAGUAAUUACCAAUGGCAUUACCAUGUCCGCGAUGUCAUCCACAUAGCCGAGAAUAAACAGAUCUGGCCAAAGACAGUUCAAGAUACAGUUCUUCAGAGAGGCCACGACCCUCAACAUUGAAGAUUAUCGACGCAAAAAGGACCAAUACCAUUGACAAUAUCUGUUUUAUCAAAGAGUUUACCACCUUGCAAACUAUCUGAACCAAUUUAAAACGUAGUUAUUUAUCUCUAAGAAAGUUGUUCAACAAAUUCAGUGUAAAAAUCGUCCAUUAUAAAUAUCUAUUCUACUUAAAUAAUACAUUGAUAAAAUCUAAUCAUUUCUUUGGUUUAUUAGCUGUAAAUUGUGAGCAUAAUUAGUUAUAUAAAUCACAAAAGCACUGUUUUACUCGCCGUUUCGUUAUAUUUACAAAAAUAAAAUAUAUCGUCGAAUAUAUUAUAAUACAAAACAAUUUUAAUACACAAUAAUAUUAAAAAUAAAAAUAAAACUUAUAAUGUAUUUAAUUUGUUAAAUAAUUCACUUUUUAAAAACAAUCUCCUAAUGUAUAAAUUUAAUUUUUAUAAUAAAUUC